Chloebia gouldiae (Gouldian finch) is the source of this 1722-nucleotide long non-coding RNA. Lineage: Eukaryota; Metazoa; Chordata; Aves; Passeriformes; Passeridae. The record is from Ensembl.
AAAUUUCAUUUUUCUCCCAUUUUAUCCCGUUUUAUCUGAUUUUUAUCCCGUUUUCUCCCAGAAAUUCCCGGUUUUCUCCCAGAAAUUCCCUUUUUUCUCCCAUAAAUUCCCAUUUUUCUCCCAGAAUUUCCCAUUUUUCUCCCAGAAAAUUUCAUUUUUCUCCCAGAAAUUCCCAUUUUUAUCCCGUUUUCUCCCAGAAUUUCUCAUUUUUCUCCCAGAAAUUCCCGGUUUUCUCCCAUAAAUUCCCAUUUUUAUCCCAUUUUUCUCCCAGAAAUGCCCAUUUUUCUCCCAGAAAUUCCCAUUUUUCUCCCAGAAAUGCCCAUUUUUCUCCCAGAAAUGCCCAUUUUUCUCCCAGAAAUGCCCGUUUUUCUCCCAGAAAUUCCCGUUUUCCUCCCAGAAAUGCCCGUUUUCCUCCCAGAAAUUCCCAUUUUUCUCCCAGAAAUUCGCAUUUUUCUCCCAGAAAUUCCCAUUUUCCUCCCAGAAAUGCCCGGUUUUCUCCCAGAAAUUCCCGGUUUUCUCCCAGAAAUUCCCAUUUUUAUCCCAUUUUUCUCCCAGAAAUGCCCAUUUUUCUCCCAGAAAUUCCCAUUUUUAUCCAGUUUUUCUCCCAGAAAUCCCCAUUUUUAUCCCGUUUUCUCCCAGAAAUUCCCAUUUUUAUCCUGUUUUCUCCCAGAAAUUCCCGUUUUCCUCCCAGAAAUUCCCGGUUUUCUCCCAGACAUUCCCAUUUUUAUCCCGUUUUUCUCCCGGAAAUGCCCGUUUUCCUCCCGGAAAUGCCCGUUUUCCUCACGGAAGUUCCCGUUUUUCUCCGUGUUUCCGCAGCCCCAGCCGGGCCCUGUGGCGGGCGCUGGGCUCGGAGCCGUCGCUGGCCCCGCUGAUCCUGGAGCAGCUCCUGGAGCGGCUGAGCCGGGAAAUUCCCUUCCAGGAGAGCCGAUCCCGGCGCGUGGCCACCGCCCUGCCCCUGGCCGUGAGUGCCCCGGAAUUCCCAAAGAAUUCCCAAAGAAAUCCCCCAAAAAAUCCCUCGAAAAAUUCCCAUGGAUUUCCUCAAAAAACUCCCGUGGAAUUCCCAAAAUUCCCAAAGAAUUCCCAAAAAAAUNNNNNNNNNNAAACUCCCGUGGAAUUCCCAAAAUUCCCAAAGAAUUCCCAAAAAAAUCCCUCGAAAAAUUUCCAUGGAUUUCCUCAACAAACUCCCGUGGAAUUCCCAAAAUUCCCAAAGACGUCCCAAAAAAAAUUCCCAUGGAUUUCCUCAAAAAUCUCCAGUGGAAUUCCCAAAGAAUUCCCCAAAAAAUUCCCAUCAAAUUCCUCUAAAAAUUCCCAAAGAAUUCUCCAAAAAAUGCCUCUAAAAAUCCCCAUCGAAUUCCUCAAAAAAUUCCCGUGGAAUUCCCAAAGAGUUCCCAAAAAAAUUCCUCUAAAAAUUCCCACGGAUUUCCUCAAAAAACUCCCCUGGAAUUCCCAAAAAAAAUCCCAUGGAAUUCCCAAAAUUCAAAAAAAUUCCCCAAAAAGUUCCCAUCAAAUUCCUCUAAAAAUUCCCAAAGAACACCCAAAAAAAAAUCCCAAAAAAUUCCUCUAAAAAUUCUCAAAAAGUUCCUCAAAAAAUUCCCACGGAUUUCCUAAAAAAACUCCUGUCGAAUUCCCAAAAUUACUCUAAAAUUUCCCAAAAAAUGUUUCUAAAAAUUGCCAUCAAAUUCCUCUAAAAAUUCCCAAAGAAGUCCCAAAAAAAUUCCCAGC